GUGCUUGCUUCAUCUGCACAUAUACUAAAUUGGAACAAUAUAGAGAAGAUUAGCAUAGCCUCUNUGCAAAGAUAACACACAAAUUCAUGAAGUGUUCCAUAUUUUU
This 106-nucleotide small nuclear RNA is filed under the name Neotoma lepida (desert woodrat). The record is from RNAcentral. Lineage: Eukaryota; Metazoa; Chordata; Mammalia; Rodentia; Cricetidae.